This 403-nucleotide ribosomal RNA is filed under the name uncultured bacterium. RNAcentral describes it as "bacterial SSU rRNA". It matches the Rfam family "Bacterial small subunit ribosomal RNA", at positions 32 to 414 of the family's 1533-position model. The record is from RNAcentral.
AAUCAACGCUGGCGGCGUGCCUCAGACAUGCAAGUCGAACGCGAAAUCCCGAGCAAUCGGGAGAGUAGAGUGGCGCACGGGUGAGUAACACGUAGGUAAUCUACCUUCGGAUGGGGAAUAACAACCGGAAACGGUUGCUAAUACCGCAUAAUGCAGCGGCACCUAAUGGUGACAGUUGUUAAAGCGGGGGAUCGAAAGACCUCGCGUCUGAAGAGGAGCCUGCGGCGGAUUAGCUAGUUGGUAAGGUAAUGGCUUACCAAGGCAACGAUCCGUAACCGGCCUGAGAGGGCGGUCGGUCACACUGACACUGACAUACGGGUCAGACUCCUACGGGAGGCAGCAGUCGGGAAUUUUGGGCAAUGGGCGAAAGCCUGACCCAGCAACGCCGCGUGAAGGAUGAAAU